GCGAAAGUGGCGGAACUGGCAGACGCGCUGGACUUAGGAUCCAGUCCCGCGAGGGGUGAGGGUUCAAAUCCCUCCUUUCGCA
RNAcentral lists this transfer RNA (82 nucleotides) under candidate division Zixibacteria bacterium RBG_16_53_22. RNAcentral describes it as "tRNA-Leu". It matches the Rfam family "tRNA". From Rfam's summary of the family: Transfer RNA (tRNA) molecules are approximately 80 nucleotides in length. The record is from RNAcentral. Lineage: Bacteria; Pseudomonadati; Candidatus Zixiibacteriota.